Molecule: non-coding RNA, 366 nt
Organism: Alistipes timonensis JC136
Lineage: Bacteria; Pseudomonadati; Bacteroidota; Bacteroidia; Bacteroidales; Rikenellaceae
Rfam family: Bacterial RNase P class A
About the family: Ribonuclease P (RNase P) is a ubiquitous endoribonuclease, found in archaea, bacteria and eukarya as well as chloroplasts and mitochondria. Its best characterised activity is the generation of mature 5'-ends of tRNAs by cleaving the 5'-leader elements of precursor-tRNAs. Cellular RNase Ps are ribonucleoproteins.
Source: Rfam
CGGCAGGCCCGCUCUGUCGCUGCCGGCCGCAGGCCGGGAGAGGAAAGUCCGGGCAACACAGAGCGCCACGCAGGCUAACGACCUGACAGCCGUGAGGUUGUGGAAGCGUAACAGAGAACGACCGCCCGCAGGCGACUGCGGGUAAGGGUGAAAAGGCGGGGUAAGAGCCCACCGCGGGGGCAGCAAUGUCGCCCGGCAGUACGUCCCGUGGGUUGCAAGACCGUGUAUACCGGCAAUUAAGGGUUGCUCGCCCGAUGCCGGGGGGUAGGUUGCUCGAGGCAGCAGGAGACUGCCGUCCUAGAUAAAUGACAGGGGCCCGGGGUUCGCCCCGGGAACAGAACCCGGCUUAUAGGGCCUGCACGCACA